RNAcentral lists this ribosomal RNA (273 nucleotides) under uncultured Ascomycota. RNAcentral describes it as "partial 18S ribosomal RNA". It matches the Rfam family "Eukaryotic small subunit ribosomal RNA", at positions 548 to 827 of the family's 1831-position model. The record is from RNAcentral. Lineage: Eukaryota; Fungi; Ascomycota.
UUGGAGGGCAAGUCUGGUGCCAGCAGCCGCGGUAAUUCCAGCUCCAAUAGCGUAUAUUAAAGUUGUUGUGGUUAAAAAGCUCGUAGUUGAACCUUGGGCCUGGCUGGCCGGUCCGCCUCACCGCGUGUACUGGUCCGGCCGGGCCUUUCCCUCUGUGGAACCCCAUGCCCUUCACUGGGUGUGGCGGGGAAACAGGACUUUACUGUGAAAAAACUUAGAGUGCUCCAGGCAGGCCUAUGCUCGAAUACAUUAGCAUGGAAUAAUAGAAUAGGA